This 641-nucleotide ribosomal RNA is filed under the name uncultured Lachnospiraceae bacterium. RNAcentral describes it as "bacterial SSU rRNA". It matches the Rfam family "Bacterial small subunit ribosomal RNA", at positions 70 to 722 of the family's 1533-position model. The record is from RNAcentral. Lineage: Bacteria; Bacillati; Bacillota; Clostridia; Lachnospirales; Lachnospiraceae.
GAAGUUUUCGGAUGGAAUCUUGAUUGACUGAGUGGCGGACGGGUGAGUAACGCGUGGAUAACCUGCCUCACACUGGGGGAUAACAGUUAGAAAUAACUGCUAAUACCGCAUAAGCGCACAGUGCCGCAUGGCAGUGUGUGAAAAACUCCGGUGGUGUGAGAUGGAUCCGCGUCUGAUUAGCCAGUUGGCGGGGUAACGGCCCACCAAAGCGACGAUCAGUAGCCGACCUGAGAGGGUGACCGGCCACAUUGGGACUGAGACACGGCCCAAACUCCUACGGGAGGCAGCAGUGGGGAAUAUUGCACAAUGGGCGAAAGCCUGAUGCAGCGACGCCGCGUGAGUGAAGAAGUAUUUCGGUAUGUAAAGCUCUAUCAGCAGGGAAGAAAAUGACGGUACCUGACUAAGAAGCCCCGGCUAACUACGUGCCAGCAGCCGCGGUAAUACGUAGGGGGCAAGCGUUAUCCGGAUUUACUGGGUGUAAAGGGAGCGUAGACGGCGAAGCAAGUCUGAAGUGAAAACCCAGGGCUCAACCCCUGGGACUGCUUUGGAAACUGUUUUGCUAGAGUGUCGGAGAGGUAAGUGGAAUUCCUAGUGUAGCGGUGAAAUGCGUAGAUAUUAGGAGGAACACCAGUGGCGAAGGC